CGGGCAGGUGGUCCGUUAAGUCGUCUGUGAAAACCCGGGGCUCAACCCCGUGGAAUGCAGGCGAAACUGGCGGACUAGAGAUCGGUAGAGGCUAACGGAAUUCCUGGUGUAGCGGUGGAAUGCGAAGAUAUCAGGAAGAACACCAGUGGCGAAGGCGGUUAGCUGGGCCGAGUCUGACACUCAUCCGCGAAAGCGUGGGGAGCAAACAGGAUUAGAUACCCUGGUAGUCC
This 230-nucleotide ribosomal RNA is filed under the name uncultured bacterium. RNAcentral describes it as "partial 16S ribosomal RNA". It matches the Rfam family "Bacterial small subunit ribosomal RNA", at positions 568 to 796 of the family's 1533-position model. The record is from RNAcentral.